RNAcentral lists this ribosomal RNA (253 nucleotides) under uncultured bacterium. RNAcentral describes it as "partial 16S ribosomal RNA". It matches the Rfam family "Bacterial small subunit ribosomal RNA", at positions 524 to 776 of the family's 1533-position model. The record is from RNAcentral.
AACGUAGGUGGCAAGCGUUGUCCGGAAUUACUGGGUGUAAAGGGAGCGCAGGCGGAAUGGCAAGUUGGGUGUGAAAUCCCGGGGCUCAACCCCGGAACUGCACUCAAAACUGCUGUUCUUGAGUGAUGUAGAGGCAGGCGGAAUUCCCGGUGUAGCGGUGGAACGCGUAGAUAUCGGGAGGAACACCAGUGGCGAAGGCGGCCUGCUGGGCAUCAACUGACGCUGAGGCUCGAAAGUGUGGGGAGCAAACAGG